UACGAAGGGGGCUAGCGUUGCUCAGAAUUACUGGGCGUAAAGCGCACGUAGGCGGCUUCUUAAGUCGGUGGUGAAAUCCUGGAGCUCAACUCCAGAACUGCCUUCGAUACUGGGAAGCUCGAGUCCGGGAGAGGUGAGUGGAACUGCGAGUGUAGAGGUGAAAUUCGUAGAUAUUCGCAAGAACACCAGUGGCGAAGGCGGCUCACUGGCCCGGUACUGACGCUGAGGUGCGAAAGCGUGGGGAGCAAACAGG
RNAcentral lists this ribosomal RNA (253 nucleotides) under uncultured bacterium. RNAcentral's name for it is "partial 16S ribosomal RNA". It matches the Rfam family "Bacterial small subunit ribosomal RNA", at positions 524 to 776 of the family's 1533-position model. The record is from RNAcentral.